Molecule: long non-coding RNA, 1316 nt
Organism: Varroa destructor (honeybee mite)
Lineage: Eukaryota; Metazoa; Arthropoda; Arachnida; Mesostigmata; Varroidae
Source: RefSeq, a predicted model, not a curated record
CGUUGCCUAGUAGCCGGCUGCUGGUUGUUUAGCUGUCGGCGCAACCUGCAGCAACCGACUCCACACUGACCUAUACCCCGAGCGUAGUGCUGCUAUCUAAAGGUCCCGUGUCAGUCCGAUAACUUUCCUACAUAUCCUAUCGCAUACCAUGAAAUAGAUUAGACUGGCUAUUGCACGCUAUUGUGUCACGUAUUAACGGGUUACUAGUAAUUUGCCCAUUGCCCGUCGGUUUGAAUACCCAGCCGGGCAGCUAGUUACGCGGCAGACUCACUCUGGAAGCCGUCCACAAUGACGAGCGGGUGGCGAGCUAGAGCUACUGUAGUUAUCGUCUCCAGUGGCGACCACCGCUGAGUACUCGCGUAGAAAGGAAGACAGCCAGAUAGGCAAAGAGGAAGAAAACGAGUGAAAGGUUCAGUUUCGAUAAAGCGUGUUUCCUACGCCUGUUGUGUAAUAAGAUGUAACAUUAGUGCUCCGUGCGGUAUUCUGAUGUCGAUCUUUUUUGGUGUUACGCUUCUUUUGUUCGUGUGUAUAGCUGGUGGCUUCUUCUGUCCGUGUGUAUAGCUUUUACAAGAUCUUUGCAAACGUUCAACGUGUAUACGAGGCCAAUGUGUUACUGCAAUUUUUAUCGGCAACAGGAAGAGGCCUUUUGCACGUGUGACGUUGGUCUAUCGACUGGAUCUCACACUAGAACAGUACACACAUAACAACAAGAGAACAACAGAGGAAAAGUACGCCAAUAAGCUAUUUAUCUGAGUGUUUGUUGUUAUUUGCUGGUGCUGCUUUUGUUACGGCUAUUUCUGCUGGGCGCGGAAUGAGUGACUGUAAGAGGGAGCAAAACGGAAAAAUGGACUCCGGUUGAUUUGCCUAUUGUAAAUUAACGCGAGUGUGUGGUGUCUAAUAGUUACGACAUCUGGUUUGGCCGGUGAUGGUUGAUUUCCAUGUGUGCUUCUUCAACGCACUGGCGUACUCAGCCAAUUGUUCAGAAUAGUUGGCUGAUCAGCUGUGUAAGACAAGGAAGUGAAAUUGCAAGGAACUGAGAAUUGAAUGUAUAUUAUUGUAUGACCGCCAUCAAUGUCCGUCAUGAUUGGGAAUUCACAGUUCACAUCAGAUCUCGUUCGGCUCAGCAUGGAUGGUGAUUCCGACUCUGGACGGGACGACAAUAUGGUGUCUUCUUUGGUGACGCGGCCGGGUUUAUUGCAGUACGACGACCCGGCAGAUGCCGUUACCUAUGAGAAUGGCGACAAUAACGACGACGACGACGACGACGACGACGACGAAGACGACGACGACGAAGACGACGACGACGAAGACGACGA